GCAGCAGGCGCGAAACCUNUGCAAUAGGCGAAAGCCUGACAGGGUUACUCUGAGUGAUUUCCGCUAAGGGGAUCUUUUGGCACCUCUAAAAAUGGUGCAGAAUAAGGGGUGGGCAAGUCUGGUGUCAGCCGCCGCGGUAAUACCAGCACCCCGAGUGGUCGGGACGAUUAUUGGGCCUAAAGCAUCCGUAGCCGGUUCUGCAAGUCUUCCGUUAAAUCCAGCCGCUCAACGGAUGGGCCGCGGAGGAUACUACAGGACUAGGAGGCGGGAGAGGCAAGCGGUACUCAGUGGGUAGGGGUAAAAUCCUUUGAUCCAUUGAAGACCACCAGUGGCGAAGGCGGCUUGCCAGAACGCGCUCGACGGUGAGGGAUGAAAGCUGGGGGAGCAAACCGGAUUAGAUACCCGGGUAGUCCCAGCUGUAAAACGAUGCAGACUCGGUGAUGGGCUAGCCUUGUGCCAGCCCAGUGCCGCAGGGAAGC
Molecule: ribosomal RNA, 479 nt
Filed under: uncultured crenarchaeote
Lineage: Archaea; Thermoproteati; Thermoproteota
Description: bacterial SSU rRNA
Rfam family: Archaeal small subunit ribosomal RNA
Source: RNAcentral